This 401-nucleotide ribosomal RNA is filed under the name Bacillus sp. (in: firmicutes). RNAcentral describes it as "bacterial SSU rRNA". It matches the Rfam family "Bacterial small subunit ribosomal RNA", at positions 46 to 439 of the family's 1533-position model. The record is from RNAcentral. Lineage: Bacteria; Bacillati; Bacillota; Bacilli; Caryophanales; Bacillaceae.
GCUAAAAAUGCAGUCGAGCGGACAGGAUGGGAGCUUGCUCCCUGAUGUUAGCGGCGGACGGGUGAGUAACACGUGGGUAACCUGCCUGUAAGACUGGGAUAACUCCGGGAAACCGGGGCUAAUACCGGAUGCUUGUUUGAACCGCAUGGUUCAAACAUAAAAGGUGGCUUCGGCUACCACUUACAGAUGGACCCGCGGCGCAUUAGCUAGUUGGUGAGGUAACGGCUCACCGAGGCAACGAUGCGUAGCCGACCUGAGAGGGUGAUCGGCCACACUGGGACUGAGACACGGCCCAGACUCCUACGGGAGGCAGCAGUAGGGAAUCUUCCGCAAUGGACGAAAGUCUGACGGAGCAACGCCGCGUGAGUGAUGAAGGUUUUCGGAUCGUAAAGCUCUGUUGU